GUGCACCUCUCGUACAUUCCGGUUCUAAGCACGUCGUCCACGCCCAGCUGACAACUGCGCGCGAGGUUUUGGUCGCC
This 77-nucleotide small RNA is filed under the name Xanthomonas vasicola. RNAcentral's name for it is "sX9 sRNA". It matches the Rfam family "Xanthomonas sRNA sX9". Lineage: Bacteria; Pseudomonadati; Pseudomonadota; Gammaproteobacteria; Lysobacterales; Lysobacteraceae. The record is from RNAcentral. RNAcentral also lists the same sequence under 5 other names.